GACGAACGCUGGCGGCGUGCCUAAUACAUGCAAGUCGAGCGGACUUUCAAGAAGCUUGCUUUUUGAAAGUUAGCGGCGGACGGGUGAGUAACACGUGGGCAACCUGCCUGCAAGACGGGGAUAACUCCGGGAAACCGGGGCUAAUACCGGAUAGUAUCUUCCUUCGCAUGAAGGAAGGUUGAAAGGCGGCGCAAGCUACCGCUUGCAGAUGGGCCCGCGGCGCAUUAGCUAGUUGGUGAGGUAACGGCUCACCAAGGCGACGAUGCGUAGCCGACCUGAGAGGGUGAUCGGCCACACUGGGACUGAGACACGGCCCAGACUCCUACGGGAGGCAGCAGUAGGGAAUCUUCCGCAAUGGACGAAAGUCUGACGGAGCAACGCCGCGUGAGCGAAGAAGGUCUUCGGAUCGUAAAGCUCUGUUGUCAGGGAAGAACAAGUACCGUUCGAACAGGGCGGUACCUUGACGGUACCUGACCAGAAAGCCACGGCUAACUACG
This 497-nucleotide ribosomal RNA is filed under the name uncultured bacterium. RNAcentral describes it as "partial 16S ribosomal RNA". It matches the Rfam family "Bacterial small subunit ribosomal RNA", at positions 28 to 505 of the family's 1533-position model. The record is from RNAcentral.